ACAGACAUCCUUUUGGCUGAGUUCUGCUGCCUGAAAACUUCUGUCAAAACACAGAAUCGUUUCUGGAAGUGAGACGAUUGAACUGGUUUCUUGCCAACAGGUGUCCCAGAAGGAGCGUUCGCAGCUCCCUGGAGGCGGGAACGGAGUCCCCCGGGGAGAGAGUGGUCCAGGGUUUGCCCUCAGGCGUCCACACUGUCCGCCGGCGAGGCUGGUCCUGUUCCCAGCACCCACGCUGCUAGAGCCACCGGAUCUCCCAGGAGGAGACCCAGCUGCACUCAGAAGAAUCACGCUGGCCUAGGAGAUGGACGGCGGCGUGCGGGCAGGACCGUGUGCGGCUGCAAAGCUGAGCUGUCGUCUUGCCUGUGGCUUCCGAAAUGCAGCCCUGGGCCCUGUGAUCGCUGCAUUUUCUCUGCGCAGCUUUGAGGGACGGAGUGUGCUGACCAACAGAAGAAAGGCAAACAGCAGAAACUGACACUGUGGUGGCCACUGGACGUGGCCUCGGUCGGCUGCGGAGAGAGAAUUUAUUUCCACAGCGACCCUCAGGAGGCGCAGCCAUGCGCACGCUGGCUGGGAGACCACGGCGC
This 584-nucleotide long non-coding RNA is filed under the name Homo sapiens (human). RNAcentral describes it as "non-protein coding lnc-DLL1-3:8". The record is from RNAcentral. Lineage: Eukaryota; Metazoa; Chordata; Mammalia; Primates; Hominidae.